UAGGUCAGAGGGGGUAACCGCUACUCCCUUCUUCAAAAAUAAAUACUUUGAUGCAUCUUGUUUUAGUACUACUGUAUUAUGGUUAGAGGGGGUAACUCCCACCCUCUCUGCAAAAAUGAGUACUCUGAUGCAUCUUUUAAUACUACUACUGUAAUAUGGUCAGAGGGGGCGGGAUACGCCCUUUUCUCGUGUCUUUGUGUACAUCAUUACUUAUAGUUUUAAAGAUGUAAAAAAAAAAUUAUUCAU
Long non-coding RNA from Hydra vulgaris (swiftwater hydra), 246 nucleotides. RefSeq lists it as uncharacterized. NCBI's taxonomy places the organism in Eukaryota, Metazoa, Cnidaria, Hydrozoa, Anthoathecata, Hydridae. The record is from RefSeq and is a predicted model, not a curated record.